UACGUAGGGUGCAAGCGUUGUCCGGAAUUAUUGGGCGUAAAGAGCUCGUAGGCGGUUUGUCGCGUCGAAUGUGAAAACCCGGGGCUCAACCCCGGGCCUGCAUUCGAUACGGGCAGACUAGAGUUCGGUAGGGGAGUCUGGAAUUCCUGGUGUAGCGGUGAAAUGCGCAGAUAUCAGGAGGAACACCGGUGGCGAAGGCGGGACUCUGGGCCGAUACUGACGCUGAGAAGCGAAAGCGUGGGGAGCGAACAGG
This 253-nucleotide ribosomal RNA is filed under the name uncultured bacterium. RNAcentral describes it as "partial 16S ribosomal RNA". It matches the Rfam family "Bacterial small subunit ribosomal RNA", at positions 524 to 776 of the family's 1533-position model. The record is from RNAcentral.